RNAcentral lists this ribosomal RNA (469 nucleotides) under uncultured bacterium. Its description in RNAcentral is "partial 16S ribosomal RNA". It matches the Rfam family "Bacterial small subunit ribosomal RNA", at positions 28 to 507 of the family's 1533-position model. The record is from RNAcentral.
GAUGAACGCUGGCGGCGUGCUUAACACAUGCAAGUCGAACGGUGAACCCGGAGCUUGCUCUGUGGGAUCAGUGGCGAACGGGUGAGUAACACGUGAGCAACCUGCUCCUGACUCUGGGAUAAGCGCUGGAAACGGCGCCUACUACAGGAUAUGUGACGUGACCGCAUGGUCUGCGUUUGGAAAGAUUUUUUGGUGGGGGAUGGGCUCGCGGUCUAUCAGCUGGUUGGUGAGGUAAUGGCGGACCAACGCGUCGACGGGUAGCCGACCUGAGAGGGUGACCGGCCACACUGGGACUGAGACACGGCGCAGACUCCUACAGUAGGCAGCAGUGGGAAGUAUUGCACAAUGGGCGCAAGCCUGAUGCAGCAGCGCCGCGUGAGUGAUGACGGCCUUCGGGUUGUGAACCUCUUUUGGCAGGGAAGAAGCGAAAGUGACGGUACCUGCAGAAAAAGCGCCGGCUAACUACGUG